Molecule: long non-coding RNA, 1308 nt
Filed under: Phasianus colchicus (ring-necked pheasant)
Lineage: Eukaryota; Metazoa; Chordata; Aves; Galliformes; Phasianidae
Description: lncRNA (ENSPCLG00000016206.1)
Source: RNAcentral
CAGCCACCAUCCUCUUCAAGAAAGUACUGCAUCAAAAAACAACAACAAAAAUGCAUAGGAAAACCGGAUCCCCAAAAGCUGGAUCCCCAAAAUGCUUAUACAGAUGUAUCUCAGCAAAUCCUUCUCUGUCAUGUAGAGCUUUCUCAGCUGCAAACAAGCUACUAUUGCUGUGAGAAUAAUAGAGAAAUCCAGCUGGGGAUGGUCUGUAAUGCCACUCACAUCCCUGAACAUCCAGAGCUCUAUGAGGUGGGUAGACCAGGAAAGCAGCUGGCAAGAGCCAACAAGCUGAGACCCCUGCUUUUGAUUCCCCGGUGGGACUGAUGUCCAGGCUGUCUUCCAUGCAGCAACACCUUUCUUUCUUCCACUGAUGGCAUCAUCCUAGCACACAGUCCCAUGUUCAGACAGAUCAGAAUGAGUAGUUUUAACCUCUGACACAUUCUAAAAACAUAGGUACGGAUCGUAUACUGAAACACAGCAUGUAUUUUUGCAGAACUAAGUAGCCUGGGUGUCUUGAUAAAUCAUGAGAUCAUUAUGCCUAGCUUAUCAGAAUAAUUAUGCUAUCAGUGGCCUUGACUAAAGGAGAUUCUUUCUACUCAUCUCUAAGUUUAGUGUUAUCUUUUCACGCAGCUUACAUUGGCAUUUAAGUAAUCCAUACAGUGCAAUUAACAGGGAAUGGCCAUGAGUUUAAAGUUGAAAAGUGAGGGAAAAAGGUAGGGAUUCUCUAGCACACAUUUGAUUGUUUAGCAAUUAGCUUCUGUAGUACUGUUAACAUCAGACGUAGAUUUUGGAACAUAAAGGCUAGAUGACACUGAAAACAGACUACUUAAUAUAAAUUCAGAUACAGACUAUUUUAUUUGCAAAAGUUUGUGUCUGUUCUUAUAAUGGUUUGUCUUACAGAUAGCUCCAUAAUUCAAGGUAUUACAGAAACUAUGGGGAAUUCAUACAAUGUAAAUUUUUUUUUUUGGUAAGAACAAGACAAAGCCCUUUAUUAACUCUUAAUUCAUAUCCUUGCAUGAGAAUACUCUGAAAAAAGCCUUGUUUAGAGGAACUGCAUUACACUGAUAUUUUUGUUACAAAAUCUAAUGUUAAAAGCUGUGCUUUAACUAUACUAAGUGCUAUGUAACACUGUGUGCUCUGAAAAAUCAUGUGCUAUGUCGAUCAGAUGACAUCCCCAUGGUGAUAGUGUGGCUUUUUUUUCCUCCUGCCUGUGCUUCGGUUCCUUUUCUGUGUAACAAAGAUAAUAUCAUCCCCUCAUCUCACAAGAAUGCCAUGAAAAUUAAUUAAUUUUUGCAAUACACCCAGGUAUUA